GAAUACUCUCAUUGUUAAGUGGGGAAUCUGUUCCGUGCAAUCACAAAUUCUUCCCCUGGCUUGGAAUGUUCAGAAUUUGAAGUUUAUUGAGAAACUCGAAUGAGGGAGCUAAAAGAAGAUGAUAUACUGCAUUAUCAGAAGUUGAUAUAUCUCUGGGGUCCCUCUACUUUUGUCAUUUGGUAAGUUGCAAUGGUUUUGUUCAUGAAGGGAAGACAACUGCAAGACUAUUCUGGGACACUUAACACAAACAUUUGGUAAGCAGAAAUGACUAAAUGACCAUCAAAUGCUGCAUUAAGUGGAGAGAAUGGUAUGUUCUUUUUCCAAGUGAAUAUUUACAGCCUCCUCUCUCCCAAUGCCCAAUAAAAUAGGCCAGGUUAAAGAUGGUAUCAUUAGUCUACUGAUUCUAUCAUCAUUCAUCAUGGUCAUCACCAAAAUGGCUACUCCACUUAAUUGACCUUUGCACAAUCCUUUUACGUGUCUGAUCAUUAUCUUCCUCACCAGAUGCCUCAUCUCC
This is a long non-coding RNA of Solanum stenotomum, 514 nucleotides long. RefSeq lists it as uncharacterized. Lineage: Eukaryota; Viridiplantae; Streptophyta; Magnoliopsida; Solanales; Solanaceae. The record is from RefSeq and is a predicted model, not a curated record. The transcript is spliced from 3 exons.